Molecule: ribosomal RNA, 400 nt
Filed under: uncultured bacterium
Lineage: Bacteria
Description: bacterial SSU rRNA
Rfam family: Bacterial small subunit ribosomal RNA
Source: RNAcentral
UCGAGGAUUUUCGUCAAUGGGCGCAAGCCUGAACGAGCGACGCCGCGUGCGGGAUGAAGGCCUUCGGGUUGUAAACCGCUGUCAGUGGGGAGGAAAUGUAUGUGGGUACUCCCGCAUAUUUGACUAAUCCGCAGAGGAAGUGUGGGCUAAGCUCGUGCCAGCAGCCGCGGUAAGACGAGCCACACAAACGUUAUUCGGAAUCACUGGGCUUAAAGGGUGCGUAGGCUGUGCAGAAAGUUGGGUGUGAAAUCCGACAGCUUAACUGUCGAAGUGCACUCAAUACUACUGUGCUAGAGGAAGACAGAGGUAAGCGGAACUGAGGGUGGAGCGGUGAAAUGCGUUGAUAUCCUCAGGAACACCGGUGGCGAAGGCGGCUUACUGGGUCUUUUCUGACGCUGAG